RNAcentral lists this ribosomal RNA (371 nucleotides) under uncultured organism. RNAcentral's name for it is "bacterial SSU rRNA". It matches the Rfam family "Bacterial small subunit ribosomal RNA", at positions 526 to 896 of the family's 1533-position model. The record is from RNAcentral.
CGUAGGGUGCAAGCGUUAAUCGGAAUUACUGGGCGUAAAGCGUGCGCAGGCGGUUCGCUAAGACAGAUGUGAAAUCCCCGGGCUUAACCUGGGAACUGCAUUUGUGACUGGCGGGCUAGAGUAUGGCAGAGGGGGGUAGAAUUCCACGUGUAGCAGUGAAAUGCGUAGAGAUGUGGAGGAAUACCGAUGGCGAAGGCAGCCCCCCUGGGCCAAUACUGACGCUCAUGCACGAAAGCGUGGGGAGCAAACAGGAUUAGAUACCCUGGUAGUCCACGCCCUAAACGAUGUCAACUGGUUGUCGGGCCUUCAUUGGCUUGGUAACGUAGCUAACGCGUGAAGUUGACCGCCUGGGGAGUACGGUCGCAAGAUUA